UGGGAGAGGACGUGUGUGAGACGCGCUCAGGGCUGACGUCCCAUUGUUUAUAUUUCACAUUUAAUAAUGCUUGUGUCUGUGUCAGAAGUUGGAAGCAAUGAAGUGUGAUUUUUCGUUUCGCCGUGAUACGAUGAAAAGCUUCAUUUCUCCAACCUUAGUGAAUGUGAAAACUAAAUGAGUGAGAAAAAAAAAAAAAACUUUUAGUAAGAUAG
This is a non-coding RNA of Penaeus vannamei (Pacific white shrimp), 212 nucleotides long. Lineage: Eukaryota; Metazoa; Arthropoda; Malacostraca; Decapoda; Penaeidae. The record is from RefSeq and is a predicted model, not a curated record.